Long non-coding RNA from Lucilia sericata (common green bottle fly), 1139 nucleotides. RefSeq lists it as uncharacterized. The record is from RefSeq and is a predicted model, not a curated record. NCBI's taxonomy places the organism in Eukaryota, Metazoa, Arthropoda, Insecta, Diptera, Calliphoridae. The transcript is spliced from 3 exons.
CCUGUUUGCUAGUGUAGAUAAAGUAGUAGUCAAUCAGAAAAGAAAAACAAAUUUCGGGAAAAAAGUGUUGUCCUCCAAAAAAGAAAAAAAAUCCACUUAAUUAUAAACAUAAAAUUUAAUUAUUCUCUUAAUAAGUGCCAGAAAAAGUUAAUAAAUUUAAUAAAUAAAUCCGUCAAAAGAAAAAUACAGAAAUUGAUAACAACAAAUUGUCAUUUCUAAGAGAGAAUGAUGAUUGUUGGUGUAAAAGUGUGGUAAUCGCUGUGAGCAAACAAAACCAAACAUAAAAGUGUGGAAAAAUUAACAAAAAAGAAAAUUAAAACACAAUAUUACACCAGAAGAAGAAAUGAUUUUUUUUAUAGAAAAUGUAAAAAUAAAUAAAUUGUUAAAAAAGUAACAUUGAAAAAUUGUGUGUAAACUAUUUUUCGAACAGCUUUUUGUUGUUGCAGCAGUUUUCGUUUUUUUUUUGUUUGGGGUGACCCCCUUAAAAAUUUUAAAUUAAAAUUUUAACUUUUUUUAAAAAAUUAUAAACAAAUUUUAUAGUUUUAUAAACAAAAUAUUUGUUUUAAUUUUUUUUGCGUUCUAUUUAAAUAUAAUUUGUCAGUAUUAAUAGAGAAAGUUUAACUUUUCACACAUAGAAUGCUACCGAGUUUUCAUAACUUAAUGAGGUGCUCUUCGAGCGUUUUACAACAGUCUACAUCUAGUAGUGGACCACCACAACCCUCAAUCAUGAUGAUCUCAAUACGGCCACCUGUUCGGGACGCGGUGAUUGUCUAAAUGGCACUUGCCUCUGUGAAAUACGUUAUGCCGGCGAUGAGUGUAGUGGUUUUAACUUACCCUACUAUGCGGGCAUUUCAAGUGUUUUCUAUUUUGUUGCCCUGGUAUCGGUUAUACAAUUGUUUAUCUGUAUAGUGGCCGAAUAUCAAAGACUCAAACAGCCGUCUGUGUUAAGGGCCUGUCGUAUUACCACACAGAAAAUGUUAUAUUUUAUGGUAUUGUGGCGGCCUCUUUGAGGGGAGCCUAUUUUACCACACCGUUGGAUUUACAACCACAAUGGGCUGUUACCUUGAUGUCCGCCUAUUAUCCUUUAUUAAUGACCUGCGCUUCAUUGAUUGUUUGCAUGUGGGCUGAGGUAAGUUCCA